AAGUUAGGAGAAAUUCUAUGUGGUCAGAGUCCUUGUGGGCCUAGAAUCCAGGCUUGGAGUUUGCUGAUGUCUAGUUGGAUAUGACAAAGUUCUGGAAAAAUGGAUUUUUUUCACUUGUGCAGGCUUGGCAGAUGGUACUCUUCAGCCUUUGGGACAAUGUCCAGUUGUCCUCUGGAUUAGGACUCUUCUGAAGGAAUCAGAAAUGAUAGGACUUAUCUUUCCCCAGACCAGAAAGUAUAGGCUAAAUAACAGUUCUGAAUUAGCUUUGGCUUUUGCUAAGCAUGAAGCACCCCUUAGGCCUGGCAUAGAUCCCUUCUAAGGUAAGUGCCCAUACAGUCCUCAGUAAGUUGUGAUUGCUGUGGAUUAGAAGGCUGCCUCUGUCAUUCAUCAUGGCGUCGUGUCUUCCAUUUGGCUGGAGAAGGGAAGCUGAAUUCAUUGAUAGAAAUCAUUUAGCCUAGGAAUUUGCAUUUAUAACUUGUUUGUCCCACAUGAAAAAGCAAGAUGGGAAAUUUAAGUAUAGCA
This 522-nucleotide long non-coding RNA is filed under the name Bos taurus (domestic cattle). Its description in RNAcentral is "long non-coding RNA NONBTAT020319". The record is from RNAcentral. Lineage: Eukaryota; Metazoa; Chordata; Mammalia; Artiodactyla; Bovidae.